Molecule: ribosomal RNA, 463 nt
Filed under: uncultured bacterium
Lineage: Bacteria
Description: partial 16S ribosomal RNA
Rfam family: Bacterial small subunit ribosomal RNA
Source: RNAcentral
GACGAACGCUGGCGGCGUGCUUAACACAUGCAAGUCGAACGGUAAGGCCCUUCGGGGUACACGAGUGGCGAACGGGUGAGUGACGCGUGAGUAACCUGCCCUUCACUCUGGGAUAACAGUUGGAAACGGCUGCUAAUACCGGAUAUUCAGCUCCUGUCGCAUGGCGGGGGUUGGAAAGUUUUGGUGGUGGAGGAUGGGCUCGCGUCCUAUCAGCUUGUUGGUGGGGUGAUGGCCUACCAAGGCGGCGACGGGUAGCCGGCCUGAGAGGGCGACCGGCCACAUUGGGACUGAGAUACGGCCCAAACUCCUACGGGAGGCAGCAGUGGGGAAUAUUGCACAAUGGGCGGAAGCCUGAUGCAGCAACGCCGCGUGCGGGAUGACGGCCUUCGGGUUGUAAACCGCUUUCAGCAGGGACGAAGCGCAAGUGACGGUACCUGCAGAAGAAGCACCGGCUAACUACGUG